AUGAAAGGAAAACACCAAGGUGUCCAGAAGAGGUUACUUGAAAUAAAUCCGAGAGCAUUGUACAUGCCAUGUGCCUAUCACAGACUGAAUCUUACUCUAUGCGAUAUGGCAAAAUCUUGCAGCAAAGCUAUUACUUUCUUUGGAGUUGUGCAACGGAUCUACAUAUUGUUUUCAGGCUCUACUAAAAGAUGGCAGGUAUUGCUUGAUAGUGUUCCAAACCUUACAGUUAAAUCUCUCUGUAAUACUCGUUGGGAGAGUCGGAUAAAGAGUGUUCAAGCUAUUAGAUAUCAAGCGUCUCAUUUAAGAAAAGCUCUAUUGGAGUUGCAGAGAACUUCUAAUGAUGACCCCAAAACUAAGAGUGAUGCAAAAUCUUUGGUUACUGCACUUGGAAAUUUUGAAUUCUUAGUUGGCAUGGUCAUUUGGCACAAUAUUUUAUUUACUAUCAACAGGGUUAGUAAGAAGUUGCAGUCUGAGUUUAUGUGCAUUGAUGUUACCCUUAAGCAAAUUGAAGGUGCCAUCUCAUUUUUUAAGAAGUACAGAAAUGACGGCUUUACAUCUAGUGUGAACAUUGCAAAAUCUAUUGCAUCUGACAUGGAUAUAGAUCCUGUAUAUCCUGUAAAACGUCAUGUUAUCUGA
RNAcentral lists this ribosomal RNA (636 nucleotides) under Triticum aestivum (bread wheat). RNAcentral describes it as "partial small subunit ribosomal RNA". The record is from RNAcentral. Lineage: Eukaryota; Viridiplantae; Streptophyta; Magnoliopsida; Poales; Poaceae.